Molecule: ribosomal RNA, 497 nt
Filed under: uncultured bacterium
Lineage: Bacteria
Description: partial 16S ribosomal RNA
Rfam family: Bacterial small subunit ribosomal RNA
Source: RNAcentral
GAUGAACGCUGGCGGCGUGCCUAAUACAUGCAAGUCGAGCGAACGGACGAGAAGCUUGCUUCUCUGCUGUUAGCGGCGGACGGGUGAGUAACACGUGGAUAACCUACCUAUAAGACUGGGAUAACUUCGGGAAACCGGAGCUAAUACCGGAUAAUAUUUUGAACCGCAUGGUUCAAAAGUGAAAGACGGUCUUGCUGUCACUUAUAGAUGGAUCCGCGCUGCAUUAGCUAGUUGGUAAGGUAACGGCUUACCAAGGCAACGAUGCAUAGCCGACCUGAGAGGGUGAUCGGCCACACUGGAACUGAGACACGGUCCAGACUCCUACGGGAGGCAGCAGUAGGGAAUCUUCCGCAAUGGGCGAAAGCCUGACGGAGCAACGCCGCGUGAGUGAUGAAGGUCUUCGGAUCGUAAAACUCUGUUAUUAGGGAAGAACAUAUGUGUAAGUAACUGUGCACAUCUUGACGGUACCUAAUCAGAAAGCCACGGCUAACUACGUG